Molecule: ribosomal RNA, 543 nt
Filed under: Triticum aestivum (bread wheat)
Lineage: Eukaryota; Viridiplantae; Streptophyta; Magnoliopsida; Poales; Poaceae
Description: partial small subunit ribosomal RNA
Source: RNAcentral
AUGGAGAAGAAGAAGAAGGCGCCGCUGCCAACACCUCAUUUCCACAAAGAGCGGCCUCUUCCUAGAGCAGAGCGGUCCCCCGAUCGACGCUACUCGCCUUACCCUCCUCCGUCCAUGGAUGGUUGCUCUGGAAAGAAUGCUGGAUCUUGGCCCCUUCACCUGACUUACUAUGGGCCUCCAUCUGAAGACCUUCAUGUCGACUGGCGCAAUAAUGACGGGGUUGUGGACAUGGAGCAUUACAGCACAGAGCUGUUUGCAGCGAUGGACAAACAUAGUUUUUGGUCGAUGCACACUUGUACACGCCCACAGUUUGGACCAAACGUCAGCGCUGAGUAUGUGAUUGAUCCUUUGUUGAAGGAUACAUUCCUUGCCAAUCCCCGUUUUAGCUACCUGCUUCCCUUGAUCGGCCACAAAGUAGCUUCUGCAGCUGAGGCUCCCAAUUCAACCACGCAGGUUGGCACAACUACUGGAUACGGGCAGCGUGAUGGUUCUAUAGAAGUCCCUGUCCGCGAAGUUGCUGCUUUGAAGAUUUCUGACAACUAG